ACAUAGGUUACAAUUAUAUUAGCAUGACCAAUUAUGCAAAUUAGGUGAUGACGUCAUUUAGCGACUUUUAGGACAACCAAUAGCGAUUUUCCUUACUGAGGAGUUGGCAACACUGCCUGGGUGGCUCUGAAGAAAUAAGGCAGCAUGUUGAAUAGGAAAGCCACACACUCUUCCUGUCAUAAUAACCUCUGAACUUAGCCACUGGCUCCCAAAUUGCAGCCUGGGGACCUGCAGGGGUUCUUAAGGGACUUUCCAAAAUACUACUUUUUUUUUUGGCUCAAGAAAACCGAAAGACUAAAUUCAGCAUUAAGCCAGAGGAUUCUUUUAGCUGAAAACACAGGCGGUGGGACACCUAGGACUUCAAAGUAAUGACACUUAAAGGAGCACUUAUUGUGAACUUUCUUCAGAAUAAAAAUCACCCUACAUGACGUGUGAAAUCUAAUGUCCUCAUUUUACCAUCAACCCCCCCCCCCCCCGAAAAAACACUAUAAAAUAACAACAACAACAAAAAAAAAAAAAAAUGUAGAAAACUUACAUUCAGUGUGUGCUACUUUGGAAUUUAAAUAAGACGCAUAAUAUCCGCGUAAUGCAUUUCACCUCUAACUGGAUCCAUACAGUGCUAAGUGAUAAAUGAAAAUGGAUUACAAGCUUUAUUCCCACUGAGCCUCACAGUUCGCUGAGAGGCCGGGCAAACAUGGAACUACUCUGCUAGAAAGGUAUGGGGCGUAUCUUAUGGCUGCUCGUGGAAAUGCUUGUAAGAGAGGAGGGAAGGAGGAGGCCCUCCCUGCUCUCCAUUUUCCUCCGUUUGUCGGCAUCCGUCUCCCCGCUGCUGGGAGUGGAGGGCGAAGGCCGAAUGCUAUGACAAUACUAUUGCACUGCUUCAGCGAUGGUACAGUAGUGCAACAUCGUCAAAGCAGCUGACCUCUGCGCGCGCGCGCGCGCACACACACACACACACACACACACACACACACACACACACACUGUAAAGACAGGGCAGCAGUUUUAACUGUGACACAGCCGUAGCUUUACAACUAGCACUCCAGUCCACUUAAAUCUAACAUUUUGUCCUGUUACAUCUAAGAUUUGGACGAACAGGAAGAGGGGACCGGCAAAUGGAGGGAAGAUGGGGUGUGUGCGUGCGUGUGGUGGGGGUGUCAGCCAAUGCCCUUUUAAUAUUGCACUGCUCAUCUGAUUUCACAGUAGUACAACAGAAAAAGGGCUUUGGACAACACGGCUGCGCCUCUGUCCGUGCGGUCUCCAUUGAACAGCCUACAUGCAAGCCGUCAGCUCCAACCUUCCUAAACUAUGGAGACAGGCCAGUGGCUCAGCGCGAGCCUCCACACGGCUAUCGGGAUUAACAGGUUGCAAACGCGGCCGUGCAAAAAGCGAGCAGGCUUUUUACAAUAGCGUGCGGUUAUACAGCGUAAAAUACACAGGCCUAAGGAGGAAAGCAUAUAAUCUAUGCAAAUUGGAAAGACGUUGUUACGAUGGGUCCUGUGUAACACAGAACUGAUGACAGCACAGCAUUUCCUGAUGCUGGUUUCAUGUGUGCAGCUUUCCUAUCAUUUGUUCCGGUCAGCAUUAAAAGCUGCAAGACGUUGGAACGAAAAAAAAAGAAAACCCUAGAAGCACCGAGGCCUCGGCAGCGCGCGGACUUCGCAGGGAGGAAACGAGGGUGGAGAAGACGUAUAUAGGGCAAAGAGCAAAUUCCGCGAUACAAUACCACAAACCUUCAUUUAAUACCUACUAUUCCUGGCCCUUUAGCCAAAGUGGCCAUUUGAAACCCUCCUCGUUUGGGAAACACAGGGGCGGGGCCUUUGAUUGGAGGGAGGGGAGGGAAGGGGGCUUGUUAUUUUCACUGUUGAGACAAGUUUACAAUCAGCUGAAGAGGCUCGCUUUCCCGUCUGAACUCUCACAUCACACACCGCGUCACGCGCCAACUAACGGGAGCUUCAGCAGCAGCGCGAGCUAACGCACGCGGCUCUCCCUCUGCUGCUGAAGAACGGGCUAAAACGGCCCCAAAGAAACGCUACAUGUCUGCUUUAACGGCAAAAACGCCUCUUAACUUAUUUUAACCACAAGGACAUGCCGUCUUGUGUGUAAUUUGUGUGAUUAUAUAUCUCACACACGUUUCUUCAGUUCCUUCAUGUUGUCUGCCACAUAACCAAAGCCCAAUCAUCCACAAACUUGUUUGGAAAGAUUUGCGCGAAGCCUCGGUCGUUCUAAAGUUGGAGGUGUGUAUUGUAGCAUUCUUCCACUACAACUUCAGCUGGACUCGCACUAACGGUUGCUUUGCGGCUGCGCUGGGCCCCACUGACAGCCGUGGCGGACUCCCGGGUGUCCCCGGAGCUCUUCUGAAGGCUGCAGACUAGUUCUGAUCUGUGUGCCAUGACGUGCGGUAGAUGCUAUGUGAGGAACGCGCACUCACUUUCGCCUCUGGUUGACAGUCUGGGAGGUGUGUGGGUUUGCAGGAAGUUCCAUGCCCAUAUUUAGUGGUGACGACCGCCGUUCGGGUCCACACACAUCUGAGCUGUGUUCAAAGAUUACACUUGUGUUUUCUUAUUUUUCUUUGUUCCUUGGAAAAAUAUCCACAAACAACCUCCAGCUGUGAGCCUCACUCUCAAAUUCUGGCCUUUCUUUGGAUCAAAUCCAAAUAGAUGCAAGUUCGGGGAUUUUAACUACGCUUCCCCUUAAGAAGCAAUAAAGGAAAGACUUCAUCUUAAUUGGUGUAAAACUCAUUUUAAAUGCUGCGAGUGAAUUUCUUUGUCUUGAAUAUAAUGGAUCUUUAAAUCUGUACAGUUUCUUAUUUGAGCAAACACAAAGUGUAUGGCCAAACCACCCUCAUGGCCACAGAACUGAAAUUUCACUUGUAAUUAAACUGGGGGAAAAAUCUAAAAACACACAAAUAACAAAGAAAGAACACCAAAUAACAAACACCAGAGUGAAUGUGAGAGGAAUAUGAAAUGAGGAAUACGCAAAGCGUAUUUCUAGUGUUCUGACUGAAAAACUGAGAAGACAUAUGCCAUUCAUUUUAAAGGUGCUGUUGGUGGCAGUAAUUCAUCUGCACACACACACACACACAAGAGAGAACAUGGAGAAAGUCCUUCUAUCUGCACAAAGAAAUCUUUUUUUUUCUAUGGUAUGUCCUUACACUAUGUACA
This is a long non-coding RNA of Oreochromis niloticus (Nile tilapia), 3164 nucleotides long. RefSeq lists it as uncharacterized. The record is from RefSeq and is a predicted model, not a curated record. NCBI's taxonomy places the organism in Eukaryota, Metazoa, Chordata, Actinopteri, Cichliformes, Cichlidae. The transcript has 2 exons.